UACGUAGGGGGCGAGCGUUGUCCGGAUUUAUUGGGCGUAAAGAGCUCGUAGGCGGUUUGGCAAGUCGGGUGUGAAAACUCCGGGCUCAACUCGGAGACGCCACUCGAUACUGCUAUGACUCGAGUCCGGUAGGGGAGUGCGGAAUUCCUGGUGUAGCGGUGAAAUGCGCAGAUAUCAGGAGGAACACCGGUGGCGAAGGCGGCACUCUGGGCCGGUACUGACGCUGAGGAGCGAAAGCGUGGGGAGCGAACAAG
Molecule: ribosomal RNA, 254 nt
Filed under: uncultured bacterium
Lineage: Bacteria
Description: partial 16S ribosomal RNA
Rfam family: Bacterial small subunit ribosomal RNA
Source: RNAcentral